This 66-nucleotide transfer RNA is filed under the name Xenograpsus ngatama. RNAcentral describes it as "tRNA-Trp". The record is from RNAcentral. Lineage: Eukaryota; Metazoa; Arthropoda; Malacostraca; Decapoda; Xenograpsidae.
AGAACUUUACGUUAUUUAAACUAAAAGCCUUCAAAGCUUUAAAAAAAAGUUAACUCUUAAGUUCUA